RNAcentral lists this ribosomal RNA (460 nucleotides) under uncultured bacterium. RNAcentral's name for it is "partial 16S ribosomal RNA". It matches the Rfam family "Bacterial small subunit ribosomal RNA", at positions 338 to 795 of the family's 1533-position model. The record is from RNAcentral.
CCUACGGGGGGCUGCAGUGAGGAAUAUUGGUCAAUGGACGAGAGUCUGAACCAGCCAAGUAGCGUGAAGGAUGACUGCCCUAUGGGUUGUAAACUUCUUUUAUAUGGGAAUAAAACAGGGUAUGCAUACUCUUUUGUAUGUACCAUAUGAAUAAGGACCGGCUAACUCCGUGCCAGCAGCCGCGGUAAUACGGAGGAUCCGAGCGUUAUCCGGAUUUAUUGGGUUUAAAGGGAGCGUAGAUGGGUUGUUAAGUCAGUUGUGAAAGUUUGCGGCUCAACCGUAAAAUUGCAAUUGAUACUGGCAGUCUUGAGUACAGUUGAGGUAAGCGGAAUUCGUGGUGUAGCGGUGAAAUGCUUAGAUAUCACGAAGAACCCCGAUUGCGAAGGCAGCUUACUAAACUGUGACUGACAUUGAUGCUCGAAAGUGUGGGUAUCAAACAGGAUUAGAUACCCCAGUAGUC